GCACAAAAGUAACUUGAUGGAGUUGAGAUAUAGGAGCAAACAAAUUUCUUUUAGAAAAAAUCUUUUGACCUCUUAACCAUUAUUUAGAACUUGGCGUGGAGAAGUAGUUUUGUGAUUACAAUGAGAAAUAUAUAAAAAUGAUGUGUUAUUUAGAAAUUUAUAUCUUUAUGUCUAUUAAAUUUAAUUUUUUUCUUUCUGAUCAGGGUCUUC
Molecule: long non-coding RNA, 210 nt
Filed under: Capsicum annuum
Lineage: Eukaryota; Viridiplantae; Streptophyta; Magnoliopsida; Solanales; Solanaceae
Description: long non-coding RNA (CANN_LNC020353)
Source: RNAcentral